This 225-nucleotide long non-coding RNA is filed under the name Glycine max (soybean). RNAcentral's name for it is "long non-coding RNA (GMAX_LNC000578)". Lineage: Eukaryota; Viridiplantae; Streptophyta; Magnoliopsida; Fabales; Fabaceae. The record is from RNAcentral.
UGGCUGAAUUUUGAAUGUACACAGCCAUGAUAAUGAAGGCAGGGAGAUCUUUGUACAUGGAGGAUGAUAGAAAUGAUCUCUGUCUUUUUUCUCUUUGUUUUUUUUUUCCAUGAAAGGGAGCAGGGUUUGUGGAUUCUUUUUUGUGGUCACAAAUAGGAUAUGAAUAUGAUGUGAAAAAUGAUUGAGGAGACAUGAAAAUGUUUCUCAGAGAUUGGAUUCAAAAUG